GCGGAUGUGGCGAAAUUGGUAGACGCACCAGAUUUAGGUUCUGGCGGGUAACCGUGGGGGUUCGAGUCCCUUCAUCCGCA
This 80-nucleotide transfer RNA is filed under the name Ditibartonella apis. RNAcentral's name for it is "Bartonella apis tRNA". It matches the Rfam family "tRNA". Rfam says of the family: Transfer RNA (tRNA) molecules are approximately 80 nucleotides in length. Their secondary structure includes four short double-helical elements and three loops (D, anti-codon, and T loops). Further hydrogen bonds mediate the characteristic L-shaped molecular structure. tRNAs have two regions of fundamental functional importance: the anti-codon, which is responsible for specific mRNA codon recognition, and the 3' end, to which the tRNAs corresponding amino acid is attached (by aminoacyl-tRNA synthetases). tRNAs cope with the degeneracy of the genetic code in two manners: having more than one tRNA (with a specific anti-codon) for a particular amino acid; and 'wobble' base-pairing, i.e. permitting non-standard base-pairing at the 3rd anti-codon position. The record is from Rfam by way of RNAcentral. Lineage: Bacteria; Pseudomonadati; Pseudomonadota; Alphaproteobacteria; Hyphomicrobiales; Bartonellaceae.